UACGUAGGUGGCAAGCGUUGUCCGGAAUUAUUGGGCGUAAAGCGCGCGCAGGCGGUCCUUUAAGUCUGAUGUGAAAGCCCACGGCUCAACCGUGGAGGGUCAUUAGAAACUGGGGGACUUGAGUACAGAAGAGAAGAGUGGAAUUCCACGUGUAGCGGUGAAAUGCGUAGAGAUGUGGAGGAACACCAGUGGCGAAGGCGACUCUUUGGUCUGUAACUGACGCUGAGGCGCGAAAGCGUGGGGAGCAAACGGG
Molecule: ribosomal RNA, 253 nt
Filed under: uncultured bacterium
Lineage: Bacteria
Description: partial 16S ribosomal RNA
Rfam family: Bacterial small subunit ribosomal RNA
Source: RNAcentral